Long non-coding RNA from Panthera uncia (snow leopard), 1437 nucleotides. RefSeq lists it as uncharacterized. The transcript is spliced from 3 exons. Lineage: Eukaryota; Metazoa; Chordata; Mammalia; Carnivora; Felidae. The record is from RefSeq and is a predicted model, not a curated record.
CUCGGAGCAGAGCGAAGCACGGGCGCGCCGGGCGGUCCCAGGCCCGACGCGCCCACGAGGCCACUUCUCCCUCGUUCCCGCGGCCGCACGACAAACUCGCUUCCACCGCGGAAGACCCGGCUCCGGCCGCCGCGCUUUCCCUGGCCUUCGCUCACGUUGUGUCUCGUUUCUUCUCCCUGUCCGUCCCGUUAGAUUAUGAGGAACACUUUGAGGGAAUACCAUUCGUCUUUGUUGACCCAGUGCCUGGCAGGCCCGAAACCGUCGUAGGUCUUUCAAUCGUCCUUGAAAGAGGUGGAAACGCCCGUUCAGCCAGUCGUGGAAGGCAUGGCGAAGGCGGCUCUUUGACAUGCACGUUUUUCUCAGGAGCGAAGGAACGACUGAGGCCAAAGAAACCAGGUGGUGGCCAUUUCACAUGGGAGAUAGAGACAAGUUGUUUGAUGUCGGACCCCCUGGUUUGAACCUCUGGGAAGCUGCCCACUGACAAUCUGUUGCACUCUGAGCACUGAAAACAAGAAAACCAAAGCCUGAAAUCCAGAAGCCCCUUCCUCUUGCAAUGUCCUCCAGCGCCCUCUACUGACAAGGCUCGACAUUGUUACAUGGGCAAAGUACUUCAGUUGAAUCUGUCAUGUGUUAAUGAACCUGUCCUAUCAAGGGUGAACUUCAUUCAUUCUCAUGGACUCAACCAUCAUCCAUCAGUUCUGUGAAUACGUCAGAUAAGAAGCUGAAUAUCCUGAAUAUCCUGACAGCAGUCUGAUGGCUUAUCAAUAAGGUGAUAUUGUGAGGUUUUGAGUUCAGGGCCUUUCCAUUGAGGAGAACCAUACUCAACCACUAAUAUUGAACACUGAAUAACUUUGGAAAUUAGUUUUUGUUAGACUUGAUAAUGGGUCCUUAAUAAAUUCAACCUCGUAUUACAAGGCGAAACAGUGCUUUUAUAAAAAACACAUUGCUGUAAUUUCCAACAACUAAUGUUGCUUGAACCAUCCAGCUGCUUACACUUCUCAUGCCGUUGGAAGUUAACAGCAGCACGUUCACUCCCACACAUAUUUAUAGCAGCUGCAUCUUCCAAGCGCAAACUACAGCUCCAGCAGUGUAUUUCAAAGAUCAAUGCAAGUGUAAAGGAAAAUUCCAGAUUUAAAAAUUCAUUUAACUGUGCAACUGACGAUAUUCCAUCUAAGUUUCAAUUAGAAGUGAUUCAUCUGCAACAUGACAUGCUAAAAGGCCACCAUCAAGAAUCUUAAUUGUAUAAAUGCCUCCAUGUGAUGAAGAUGCUUGGUCAAAAUCAUAGAGUCGUGGACUCAUCAGUAUUUGGCAGUACUUAUGUUUGAAAAGAUAGUUUCAAAGCUGAAAUGCACAAAAUCUAACAGAUGAACAUUUGCAAUCAACUUUGAUAGCAAACUUUGAAUUCCAAUUAAGCAAAAUACUGCCCCCAAAAGCAUU